Molecule: ribosomal RNA, 510 nt
Filed under: uncultured bacterium
Lineage: Bacteria
Description: partial 16S ribosomal RNA
Rfam family: Bacterial small subunit ribosomal RNA
Source: RNAcentral
GACGAACGCUGGCGGCGUGCUUAACACAUGCAAGUCGAACGAAGAGCGAUGGAAGCUUGCUUCUAUCAAUCUUAGUGGCGAACGGGUGAGUAACGCGUAAUCAACCUGCCCUUCAGAGGGGGACAACAGUUGGAAACGACUGCUAAUACCGCAUACGAUCUGACCUCGGCAUCGAGGAUAGAUGAAAGGUGGCCUCUAUUUAUAAUCUAUCACUGAAGGAGGGGAUUGCGUCUGAUUAGCUAGUUGGAGGGGUAACGGCCCACCAAGGCGAUGAUCAGUAGCCGGUCUGAGAGGAUGAACGGCCACAUUGGGACUGAGACACGGCCCAGACUCCUACGGGAGGCAGCAGUGGGGAAUCUUCCGCAAUGGACGAAAGUCUGACGGAGCAACGCCGCGUGAGUGAUGACGGCCUUCGGGUUGUAAAGCUCUGUUAAUCGGGACGAAAGGCCUUCUUGCGAAUAGUUAGAAGGAUUGACGGUACCGGAAUAGAAAGCCACGGCUAACUACGUG